Molecule: long non-coding RNA, 335 nt
Organism: Perognathus longimembris pacificus (Pacific pocket mouse)
Lineage: Eukaryota; Metazoa; Chordata; Mammalia; Rodentia; Heteromyidae
Exons: 3
Source: RefSeq, a predicted model, not a curated record
ACUGUAACCCCUCUGUACAUCACUUUGACAAUAAAUAAUGAAAAAAAAAUGAAAACAUUCGAGUCCCUCCUAUUCUAAAGUGAUUGCAAAACAACUGUUUACAUUAGUGUCAAGAGGCUUAGAGAAGACAUUUCAUGAGCUUGUAGUAGGGAUGAGAAAGAAAAAAAAGAAGGGCUGGGGGAGAAAAGUCAUUCUAGACCAUUAUUUAUUUCUAAAUGCUUCAUGGAAGUCAGGAAUGCUGUUAUAAUGUACAGUGAUCAGAAUUUGUGAUGAUACAGCAAGUAAGAAAGUAUAUUUCUCCUGCCUUCGUGUGUGUGUGUGUGUGUGUGUGUGUG